This 161-nucleotide ribosomal RNA is filed under the name uncultured bacterium. RNAcentral's name for it is "partial 16S rRNA". It matches the Rfam family "Bacterial small subunit ribosomal RNA", at positions 355 to 508 of the family's 1533-position model. The record is from RNAcentral.
UAGGGAAUCUUCCACAAUGGACGCAAGUCUGAUGGAGCAACGCCGCGUGAGUGAAGAAGGUCUUCGGAUCGUAAAACUCUGUUGUUAGAGAAGAACACGAGUGAGAGUAACUGUUCAUUCGAUGACGGUAUCUAACCAGCAAGUCACGGCUAACUACGUGC